RNAcentral lists this long non-coding RNA (1974 nucleotides) under Pogona vitticeps (central bearded dragon). RNAcentral describes it as "lncRNA (ENSPVIG00000000810.1)". Lineage: Eukaryota; Metazoa; Chordata; Lepidosauria; Squamata; Agamidae. The record is from RNAcentral.
AUGCUAUGCUUGUCACAAGGGGUUAUUGGGGGGGCGGGUUUUAAAAGGAAGCAAAGUAGUGGAGUCUGCAGCCGAUUUCACAACAGCUACUAUGGGUUUUUUUCAUUGCUCAGAUCAAUGCUGUGGGCAGAAUCAGAAUUUCUAGGCCAUUGGCUUUGCUUUCAAAUGGGGAGGAUACAGCAUUCUGUGUAACCAUAGUCAUUAGAAAGCUCUUUGUGUCACUGAUCACUGGAUGUGGGGAAAACGCCUGCCAUCUGUAAACAGAGUGUGAAUGAUUCCCUAGGCUGAGUUCAUUCAAUUAACAGCCAGAUGACUCCAUAAGCUCCUGUAAGUAACAAAGACUUUGCUUCUGUGUUUUUAUUUGCACUUAAAACAUGUAAGUUAAUUGAAUGCCUGACUGAAAGAAACGCUUCAGAUUUUCCUUUUUUUUCCUUAAGAGAUUUCUCACACUAUCAAGGGAAGUUUCAGCAGAAAAGAAAGAACAUUUAGCCUGUCUGAUUUCCUCUCAUUAAAGAAGUGUCUUAGGAAGGUAAUACAAAGAAUCCAGCAAAUGGAGCAGAGAUGGGGAGUGGGGCAACGGCUUGUUCAGUGUAACACAGCGGCUCUUCACUUUUUUUUAAUCACAGACUAUAUUCUGCCACCGCUUACCACCAAGACUUAGCUCAAAAUUUUAAACCGUAAAGUGCAUCAAAUAUUUAUUUGAGGUUUCUCAUGAAGGGUCGACAGAUAUUCUUUGCUAUAACGGCACCACAUUUUAAGAUGACUGGAAGAAACUUCAUUUUGCUUUGAGAAGGAUGCACUCUCAUCAACAGCAUCCGUUUUUUUACACUUCACAUUCAGCCAGCAAUCCAUUCUAUUGUCCACUGUAUUGUCACAAAAUUCACUAUGAUAAUACAGUAUUAAAAAGUGACUUUACCUGACAGUAACCAAACGGUUUUAUUAGCAAAAAUUGAAGAAGUAACACAAUCAUAAACUUCAUCCAGGCAUUCAUACUGACACUGACUGACUCCAACUCUCUCUUCCUGCGGCUUCUGACUAUUUGCGCAGUAACAAGAAAAGUCAUAUGCUGUCUCUUAACCGCUCAACAUCAUUUACUUGCAUGUUCUCACUGUGUGCACAAAUACUGAACAGUUAUUUGCUACCAAACAGUUAUUUUCAUAACUGAUUUUUACUUUUGUUUGUUUUUAAUGGAAGUGCCAGAAAAGUCACAUUUUACACAAACGAGAAAUUAAGAUUUUGUUCUUUCUUUCUUUCUUUCUUUCUUUCUUUCUUUCUUUCUUUCUUUCUUUCUUUCUUUCUUUCUUUCUUUCUGUUUUAACUGCAAAAGAUCAUACCAUUUCUUCAAGGCUUUGUGGACCCCCUGUGAGGACAUCACAGCCCCUCAGGGGUCUGCGGACCACAACUUAAGAACCUAUGGUAUAAUGCGUAAGGCCAGGGACGACCAUAACCUAUAGAGAACUACUGUCUGCCAUCGCAAAACUCACCAGCAAAGAGAUUCAAAUCUACAAAUCUUAUCCUCUUCAUACUUGGUAUUUCAAGUUCAAAAUUUAAUUCACAUGCUACAAUUUCAACAAAAUACUGUUGAAUUUAAAACUAUUGUUACAGAUAGGUGUGCCCUUUACUGCAACUUUCCCUCCCAACACAGAGCAUUCUGCAUUCACUGAACAUACUCAGCUUUCCUCGGCUGUUGGGUCCUGUUUGUAUGUUGUCUAACCUAUGGUGUAGAAAUGCUAGGACACACAGGGCCAAAGCCAUGGCACUUUCUGGCUGAAAUCCUGUUUGUAUAACUAUCACCAUGCCAUGUCAUCAGCGAGAGCAGUUUUUUCAGAAAUUAAACACUUCCUCUUUCUGUUCUGUGGCUGCUAUGUAAUUCUUUUAUUGUUUGAAAGCUGUGGGCGCAACUGGAAGGGAGGAGGAAGUCUUUGAUAAUCAAAAAUCACUGCCACUAAAAUAAAACGUCUUCAACCACUAUCA